This is a long non-coding RNA of Ictalurus punctatus (channel catfish), 1591 nucleotides long. RefSeq lists it as uncharacterized. The transcript is spliced from 2 exons. The record is from RefSeq and is a predicted model, not a curated record. NCBI's taxonomy places the organism in Eukaryota, Metazoa, Chordata, Actinopteri, Siluriformes, Ictaluridae.
CGAGAGAGCAGCUGCCCCUAUACUGCCUCAUGCCUGCUGGGAUUAGAGGACACAAGAGCUGUGAGGGAUACACAGGGCAGGAGGCCACACACACGUCUUCCACGCCCGCACACACACACGUUCUCUGAUGGACGAACGCCAGAAGAGGCGGGGUCAGUCCGAAAGAUUUCCCGCUUUUUUCUUCCCUGACGUUCACCAGACGCAGCGAAACCCUUCAACCCAAGGAAUGUGUUUCCGUUUCUUAACGUAGCCCGUCUUAGUCCAAGAGCAUAAUAAUGGAACGAUUUCCCUUACAAAUACAAUAUAUUCUCCCUAUGUAUUAUAUCACCAAUCAAUGGUCCGAGGGUUCAAGCUAAGGAAGUAGAAAGGGUUUCAAAUACUGCUUCAUUUUUGUCAGAUUAGGUCUUUACCCACUUUGUGAGUUUUAUUAACAUUACUGGAACUAAUUCUAGUCUAUGUUCAUGCUAAACGAAGUUGCUCUUAAAGGGCGAGGACUGCGUAAGCACUGAGGUGAAGACGGAGCCUGGCACACGUCUCCUCCGCCUGGGAUCGGUAUCACUCAGCAGAACAGGAGGGUGUCACUUUCUACUGUCAGCACGUGAGAAGUCAACAAAAGUGUACGAUAACACAGAGCUGGAACUCCUCAGAUACAGUCUGAGUAAACAGAGGAAGCCUGAGAGUAAUGAAAUGGCACGGAAUGAAGCAUUAGCAGGAGUCUGGAUAAGGACAAAGGGAUUGAGGUUUCCAGAGCUUCAGUUUCUCCAGCAGAUGCCUAAUUAGUGUGGCGUGCUGUCCUCAUUAACCACGGCCGGUUUCCGUAAAUACGGACGGAUGAGUUGUCCGAUGAAAGACGGUCUGAAAAACGUGGCAGAUGGCAUUGGGUUUGACCCGAGAGCUUUCCGUGUGACUCGUAUGCGUCUCGUAUACUCCUUCAAAACAGACAAGCGUCCCAAUAAAAACAGCGGACACUUUAAUCGGGACACGCGAAUGAAAUCGUGCCGAUUCGGCUCGGCGGCUUCAGUUAAUGCUCGCAUCAAACAUCAGAACGUUAUCUCGGGAGUUUGAGUGUGGAGCCGCUUUUCUCCUGGGAUUUUCCACCACAACAGUCUCUAGAGUGGUGCGAAAAAUCCUCCGAUGUUCUAGAAGUAGAAACACCUUGUUGAUGAGAGAGGGCCGACGAGAACGUCCUGACCGGAUCGAGUUCGCAGGAAGUCUCCACUGACGCAAAUAACCACUCAUUUACAACCACGGGGACAGCGCAGUACACCUCACCUCGAGGUGGAUGCUCUACAAGAGCAUAAGACCGCACCAAGUUCCACUCCUGUCAUCCAAGACGAGGAAUCUGAGGCAGAAAAAUGUUCAGAACUGAGUGCUUUGUGUGUUUACUUGUAACAUCACAAGCUGCGUCUUUUUGUUUUUUUUUGUCGUAUUAACCAUUAGAGAGGAGAAAAAAGACUGUGAAGGAACGAUUGUUUAUAGCUGUUAUGACAGGAACUGACUUUUUUUUUGGACGUUCCACAACUUUACACUUACUACAUACGGAAAAAUGUAUGACAUUCCGUUGUUUAAUAAAUGAAAAAUUGUUAUGGUA